RNAcentral lists this ribosomal RNA (1280 nucleotides) under uncultured Bacteroidota bacterium. RNAcentral's name for it is "bacterial SSU rRNA". It matches the Rfam family "Bacterial small subunit ribosomal RNA", at positions 64 to 1346 of the family's 1533-position model. The record is from RNAcentral. Lineage: Bacteria; Pseudomonadati; Bacteroidota.
GAACGAUACCAAUGGGCUUGCUCAUUGGGAAAGUGGCGCACGGGUGCGUAACGCGUAUGCAACCUACCUCAAUCAGGGGGAUAGCCCGAAGAAAUUCGGAUUAACACCGCAUAAAAACACAGUACAGCAUUGUACAAUGUUCAAAUAUUUAUAGGAUUGAGAUGGGCAUGCGUGUCAUUAGCUAGUUGGCGGGGUAACGGCCCACCAAGGCGACGAUGACUAGGGGAUCUGAGAGGAUGACCCCCCACACUGGUACUGAGACACGGACCAGACUCCUACGGGAGGCAGCAGUAAGGAAUAUUGGUCAAUGGAGGCAACUCUGAACCAGCCAUGCCGCGUGCAGGAAGACAGCCCUCUGGGUCGUAAACUGCUUUUAUUCGGGAAUAAACCUACUUACGUGUAAGUAGCUGAAUGUACCGAAGGAAUAAGGAUCGGCUAACUCCGUGCCAGCAGCCGCGGUAAUACGGAGGAUCCAAGCGUUAUCCGGAUUUAUUGGGUUUAAAGGGUGCGUAGGCGGCUUAUUAAGUCAGGGGUGAAAGACGGUGGCUCAACCAUCGCAGUGCCCUUGAUACUGAUGAGCUUGAAUGAACUAGAGGUAGGCGGAAUGUGACAAGUAGCGGUGAAAUGCAUAGAUAUGUCACAGAACACCGAUUGCGAAGGCAGCUUACUAUGGUCUUAUUGACGCUGAGGCACGAAAGCGUGGGGAUCAAACAGGAUUAGAUACCCUGGUAGUCCACGCCCUAAACGAUGAAUACUCGCUGUUAGCGAUAUACAGUUAGCGGCUAAGCGAAAGCGUUAAGUAUUCCACCUGGGGAGUACGCCCGCAAGGGUGAAACUCAAAGGAAUUGACGGGGGCCCGCACAAGCGGAGGAGCAUGUGGUUUAAUUCGAUGAUACGCGAGGAACCUUACCCGGGCUUGAAAGUUAGUGAAUCAUUUAGAGAUAGAUGAGUGAGCAAUCACACGAAACUAGGUGCUGCAUGGCUGUCGUCAGCUCGUGCCGUGAGGUGUUGGGUUAAGUCCCGCAACGAGCGCAACCCCUAUGUUUAGUUGCCAGCACGUUAUGGUGGGGACUCUAAACAGACUGCCUGUGCAAACAGAGAGGAAGGAGGGGACGACGUCAAGUCAUCAUGGCCCUUACGUCCGGGGCUACACACGUGCUACAAUGGAUGGUACAGAGGGCAGCAAGCUGGUAACAGCAAGCAAAUCUCAAAAAGCCAUUCACAGUUCGGAUAGAGGUCUGCAACUCGACCUCUUGAAGUUGGAUUCGCUAGUAAUCGCG